This 501-nucleotide ribosomal RNA is filed under the name uncultured Stenotrophomonas sp. Its description in RNAcentral is "bacterial SSU rRNA". It matches the Rfam family "Bacterial small subunit ribosomal RNA", at positions 505 to 1004 of the family's 1533-position model. Lineage: Bacteria; Pseudomonadati; Pseudomonadota; Gammaproteobacteria; Lysobacterales; Lysobacteraceae. The record is from RNAcentral.
GUGCCAGCCGCCGCGGUAAUACGAAGGGUGCAAGCGUUACUCGGAAUUACUGGGCGUAAAGCGUGCGUAGGUGGUCGUUUAAGUCCGUUGUGAAAGCCCUGGGCUCAACCUGGGAACUGCAGUGGAUACUGGGCGACUAGAGUGUGGUAGAGGGUAGCGGAAUUCCUGGUGUAGCAGUGAAAUGCGUAGAGAUCAGGAGGAACAUCCAUGGCGAAGGCAGCUACCUGGACCAACACUGACACUGAGGCACGAAAGCGUGGGGAGCAAACAGGAUUAGAUACCCUGGUAGUCCACGCCCUAAACGAUGCGAACUGGAUGUUGGGUGCAAUUUGGCACGCAGUAUCGAAGCUAACGCGUUAAGUUCGCCGCCUGGGGAGUACGGUCGCAAGACUGAAACUCAAAGGAAUUGACGGGGGCCCGCACAAGCGGUGGAGUAUGUGGUUUGAUUCGAUGCAACGCGAAGAACCUUACCUGGCCUUGACAUGUCGAGAACUUUCCAGA